This 433-nucleotide ribosomal RNA is filed under the name uncultured bacterium. RNAcentral's name for it is "partial 16S ribosomal RNA". It matches the Rfam family "Bacterial small subunit ribosomal RNA", at positions 29 to 507 of the family's 1533-position model. The record is from RNAcentral.
AGCGAACGCUGGCGGCAGGCUUAACACAUGCAAGUCGAGCGGGCCUUUCGGGGUCAGCGGCGGACGGGUGAGUAACGCGUGGGAACGUGCCCUCUGGUUCGGAAUAACUCAGGGAAACUUGAGCUAAUACCGGAUACGCCCUUUUGGGGAAAGGCUUGCUGCCGGAGGAUCGGCCCGCGUCUGAUUAGCUAGUUGGUGAGGUAACGGCUCACCAAGGCGACGAUCAGUAGCUGGUCUGAGAGGAUGAUCAGCCACACUGGGACUGAGACACGGCCCAGACUCCUACGGGAGGCAGGAGUGGGGAAUAUUGGACAAUGGGCGCAAGGCUGAUCCAGCCAUGCCGGGUGAGUGAUGAAGGCCUUAGGGUUGUAAAGCUCUUUUAUCCGGGACGAUAAUGACGGUACCGGAGGAAUAAGCCCCGGCUAACUUCGUG